UGCGUAACGCGUAUGCAACCUACCCUUUACUGGAGAAUAGCCCAUGGAAACGUGGAUUAAUGCUCCAUAGUUUGUAGACAUCUCCUGAUGAUUACAAUAAAGUUUCGACGGUAAAGGAUGGGCAUGCGUGACAUUAGCUAGAUGGUGAGGUAACGGCUCACCAUGGCGACGAUGUCUAGGGGUUCUGAGAGGAUUAUCCCCCACACUGGUACUGAGACACGGACCAGACUCC
Molecule: ribosomal RNA, 232 nt
Filed under: uncultured bacterium
Lineage: Bacteria
Description: partial 16S ribosomal RNA
Rfam family: Bacterial small subunit ribosomal RNA
Source: RNAcentral